Molecule: non-coding RNA, 45 nt
Filed under: Schistosoma margrebowiei
Lineage: Eukaryota; Metazoa; Platyhelminthes; Trematoda; Strigeidida; Schistosomatidae
Source: RNAcentral
AUUCAGCUGACGAGUCUCAAAUAAGACGAAACGCGAGUCCUGGAU